GCCAGCUAUGUGAACAACAAAGAUUUUUUUAUCUCACUAAGGAAGAACAUUGGUUCUGAAAUUGGUAGUACCACUGUAUUAAUAUGUUGCCACAGUUGCUGUCUUAAAACAUUUUAAAACUAGAAUGAUAGAAGUUGCACUUUUAAUAGUUGGAAAUGUCUUUAGUUCAUGUCAUUUAGAUUCUUCUAAUUUUUCCAUGUUUCUAGUUUCACAGGAAAGCGAGUGACCUCGCACCUAUAUCCAUAGCAACCCAGUGAUGUCACACACAAUGACACAGAGGCUGCAAUGCACCUAAGGGCUGGUAGGGAGUAUGCAAAUGGCAUUUGUCCAAGCAUUUGGAAAAUACAGGAAGAUAUAAAGAAAAGACUCAAUCCUGCCACUCCAGUGAGCUCUCUGAAAUUGCCUUGCUGAUAGAGGGAUAAAACUUACGGCUCUUCAGGAGGCUAGAUCAAUAGCCAUUAUCGCUAAUGGAGUAAUACCUCUGAAGACUCUUCAGAGGUGGACUUCUGCCAGCCAUUAUUCUGAGUCAUGUGGUUUCAAUUGUUCUUUGGGGUGGAAAGAAUACAGACAACAUUUUGCUUUCUAUGUGUUGUCCUUCAUGAUAACUGAAAUGAAUAUUAACUGCUUUCUGUAAUUAUUAAAAAUCUCGUAUGUAUCUUUUUUAAUUAGUCGUUUGGAUAACUGCCAACAUUGGGGAGGAUUUUGUCCCUUAGUAGUUGGGGGAAGCCUUAUUUAUUACAUCAAACUCUAAUUUAUUUAAAAGAGUGGAAAAAAUGACCUUGCUUUUAUUGAGAUAAAAGUCACAUAACAUAAAGUGUACAAUUCAGUAGCAUUUAGUAUAUUCACGAUGUUGGGAAAAAAUGAGGAAACGAUAUCUUUAAAAAGUGAUAAUGGUCUGGCUAUAGCUGGCUGGAUUAUAAAACAUAACCAAUUCAAGAAUGUGUCAGUAAUGGAGGGCCCACAACAGCGUAGCCAGUGGUAAUCAGUAUCUCUUUGUUUUCUAACUUCUGAACCAUUUCAGCGUACAUUUUAAAAAAGGACUUAGCUAGGUUUGUAUUUCCAUUCAAGUUAUAGAGCUUAAAAACCAUACGACGUUCACCCAAAUAAAUAAGAACAAUUUACCUAAAAUCAGAGCAAGCUAUUCACUAUUUGGAGAUUACGGAAAUGGUGCUGGUGUUCAUUGUACACCUCGUUUUCCACCAAGGCUGACUUUGGUAAAAAUGGUUUCCCUGCUGUGUGGCAGCAGUCCCCUGAGGAACACUGUGCAGUCCUGAGAGCUGUGAGCUAUUCACACAUGGAAUUCUAAACUGAUGGGAUUCCCUUCAAUAAGAGAUGAAAUACAUUGUUUUGGUGCUUCUGAAGCCAUCAGGAGCUUCUCACCCCAUGUCACUAACCCUAACCCUUUUAUCUGGCAGGACAUCUGAUUAUUUCUAUAUUCCCUACCAGAUUCCAUGGGAUGUGAAAGAAAAACAAAGACCACUUUGCAUGUUUAAUAGUCAAGGGGGGGGAAUCACAUAUAAACCACUAUCUUUUUGUCGUAUUUUCUAAGCUCUGUUUCUUAGUGCUUGACCAGAUAUUUGAGACUGUAAUUUUGGGGGGCUGUAUUUGUUGUCUUCGUAGGUUUUAAAGUCUGCCAACCAGUACCAGCUGCCUUAGGACCUUUCAUAAUCUUUUUCUGUUGUCCCCCAAAUCCCAUUUUAGAUAUUAGCUAUUAUUUUGGUUCACUAGCAAACCAUAUCAUCUUACUUUAAAUUGGUACUUGUAGAGAUACUUGAAAUUUUGAUUUUACUAAUCUAUGAGUUUGAGUAGUAAAAAAGUAGUUACAGGAAAAGUGAUAAAGAAAAAUUCCCAAAAGAAAGCUUUAAUUUUAAGAUAAAUGGUUAAAUAACUGGUUU
Rhinolophus ferrumequinum (greater horseshoe bat) is the source of this 1895-nucleotide long non-coding RNA. RefSeq lists it as uncharacterized. The record is from RefSeq and is a predicted model, not a curated record. The transcript has 3 exons. Lineage: Eukaryota; Metazoa; Chordata; Mammalia; Chiroptera; Rhinolophidae.